This 52-nucleotide small RNA is filed under the name Sedimentitalea nanhaiensis. RNAcentral describes it as "ffh sRNA". It matches the Rfam family "ffh sRNA". The record is from Rfam by way of RNAcentral. Lineage: Bacteria; Pseudomonadati; Pseudomonadota; Alphaproteobacteria; Rhodobacterales; Paracoccaceae.
CUUCAUGGGGAUCGCCCUCCACCAGCGUGUUACGCCCGUGGGGGCGAUUGCG